Molecule: ribosomal RNA, 501 nt
Filed under: uncultured bacterium
Lineage: Bacteria
Description: bacterial SSU rRNA
Rfam family: Bacterial small subunit ribosomal RNA
Source: RNAcentral
GAUGAACGCUAGCUACAGGCUUAACACAUGCAAGUCGAGGGGAAACGAUAGAGAAAGCUUGCUUUUUCUAGGCGUCGACCGGCGCACGGGUGAGUAACGCGUAUCCAACCUGCCCAUCACUUGGGGAUAACCUUGCGAAAGUAAGACUAAUACCCAAUGACGUCUCUAGAAGACAUCUGAAGGAGAUUAAAGAUUUAUCGGUGAUGGAUGGGGAUGCGUCUGAUUAGCUUGUUGGCGGGGUAACGGCCCACCAAGGCGACGAUCAGUAGGGGUUCUGAGAGGAAGGCCCCCCACAUUGGAACUGAGACACGGUCCAAACUCCUACGGGAGGCAGCAGUGAGGAAUAUUGGUCAAUGGGCGAGAGCCUGAACCAGCCAAGUAGCGUGAAGGAUGACUGCCCUAUGGGUUGUAAACUUCUUUAUAAAGGAAUAAAGUCGGGUAUGCAUACCCGUUUGCAUGUACUUUAUGAAUAAGCAUCGGCUAACUCCGUGCCAGCAGCCG